RNAcentral lists this ribosomal RNA (253 nucleotides) under uncultured bacterium. RNAcentral's name for it is "partial 16S ribosomal RNA". It matches the Rfam family "Bacterial small subunit ribosomal RNA", at positions 524 to 776 of the family's 1533-position model. The record is from RNAcentral.
UACGGAGGGCGCAAGCGUUGUUCGGAAUUACUGGGCGUAAAGCGCCCGUAGGCGGCUAAUUAAGUUGGACGUGAAAGCUCCUGGCUUAACUGGGAGAGGCCGUUCAAAACUGGUUGGCUAGAGUGAGGCAGAGGAGCGUGGAAUUCCCGGUGUAGUGGUGGAAUGCGUAGAGAUCGGGAGGAACACCAGUGGCGAAAGCGGCGCUCUGGGCCUAAACUGAUGCUGAGGGGCGAAAGCGUGGGGAGCGAACGGG